GUCUACACCCAUGCCAUCUUGAACGAGCCUGAUCCCGUCUGAUCUCGGAAGCUAAGCAGGGUCGGGUCUGGUUAGUACUUGGAUGGGAGACCACCUAGGAAGACCAGGUGCUGUAGGCA
Molecule: ribosomal RNA, 119 nt
Filed under: Pteropus alecto (black flying fox)
Lineage: Eukaryota; Metazoa; Chordata; Mammalia; Chiroptera; Pteropodidae
Source: RNAcentral